CCGGAGAUGCAGACAGUUUGCUGAGACUGCUAGUGCUCUAGGCUGAGACUCACACCACCACCAUGUCCUGCUACCAGUAUCGCUGAACACAUCUCUCUUCUUCAGGAAUGUGGCCGAUGACACCAGGUAUGAAGAUUUACAGUGUGAACUUGGUCAUUAUGGUCCUAUAGUUGAUGUGUAUGUUCCGCUUGAUUUCUACAUUCGCUGUCCAAGAGGAUUUGCUUAUAUUCAAUUUGAGGAUGUUUGUGAUGCUGAAGAUGCUUACAUAAUUUGGACAGAAAGUGGAUUUGUGGAUGGCAGAUUAAAAUACAGUUUGCCUAGGGGGAUCAGAAGACACUAAAUCAGAUGAAAGCCAAGGAAGGGAAGAAUGUGUACAGUUCUUCAUGCUAUGAUGAUGAUGACAGAUACAGACAUUCUAGAAGCCAAAGUUGUAAAAGAAGGAGAUCAAGAAGGCUGUCUUCUGAUUACAACUAUAGAAGGUCGUAUAGUCCUAGAAACAGUAGACCGACUGGAAGACCACACAUAGCAGAAGCCAUUCCAAAUAUGAUAGAUUCAAACACUGAAAUUAAUCUUUUUCAAAAUCUAAAUCCAAUUCAAGAUCACGGUCCAAGUCCCAGCCCAAGAGAGAAAUGAAGGCUGAAUCACAUUCUAGGUCUGCAUCUCACACCAAAACUAGAGGCACCUCAAAAAUAGAUUCCAAAACACAUUAUAAGUCUGGCUCAAGAUAUGAAAAGGAAUUAGGGAAAAAAAGAACCACCUAGAUCCAAAUCUCAGUCAAAAUCACAGUCUAUGUUUAGGUCAAAAUCGGUAUCAAGGUCUUGGACUAGUCCUAUGCUCAGUGGCCAUUGACAGUAUAAACCAUGAUCAUUUUUAGGCGUGUGUCAUUCACUUAUUCAUAGUUUGGUUUACCUAAAUUAUCAGGAAUACAGUGUUGCAAUGAUGAUUAAAAAGACACUUGUUAGUUUUCCCUGUACCAGGCAAUGAUCAUAAUCAAAAUGAUAUGCUGUUGAGAAGCCACUCUUAAGAGUCCAGUUUGUUUAAUGUUAUGAGCAGCCACCAAUUUGUGGUGUCUCUGUAUAUUUUUGUAAAGAUUCUCAUUUUUAUGCUUGAAGUAUUUGGUGAAAAGAUGUGGUUGACCAUAAUUUGCAACAUUCUUUUAUUAAAAAUAAACUUUCAUAUUUGUAUUUGGUAGAACCGUUAACCUAGAAAUGUAGCUUGUUAAUAAGAAUGACACAAAAAUGAAGUCAUAGCUACAGUACAACACUGACUGCUCAGACACAUUUAGGUUCAGGGCAGGCCUUUAUGUCUUGUCAAGGUGUCUU
Molecule: long non-coding RNA, 1322 nt
Filed under: Homo sapiens (human)
Lineage: Eukaryota; Metazoa; Chordata; Mammalia; Primates; Hominidae
Description: novel transcript
Source: RNAcentral